AAUGAACGCUGGCGGCGCGCCUAAUACAUGCAAGUCGAGCGAGAAGACGUAGCAAUACGUUUGUAAAGCGGCGAACGGGUGAGGAAUACAUGGGUAACCUACCCUCGAGUGGGGAAUAACUAGCCGAAAGGUUAGCUAAUACCGCGUACGCUUCUUGGACUUCGGUUCAGGGAGGAAAGCGAUGCCGAGGGUAUCGCGCUCUUGGAUGGGCUCAUGUCCUAUCAGCUUGUUGGGAGGUAACGGCUCACCAAGGCUUCGACGGGUAGCUGGUCUGAGAGGACGAUCAGCCACACUGGCACUGCGACACGGGCCAGACUCCUACGGGAGGCAGCAGUAAGGAAUAUUGCGCAAUGGGCGAAAGCCUGACGCAGCGACGCCGCGUGGGGG
RNAcentral lists this ribosomal RNA (387 nucleotides) under uncultured bacterium. RNAcentral describes it as "bacterial SSU rRNA". It matches the Rfam family "Bacterial small subunit ribosomal RNA", at positions 29 to 407 of the family's 1533-position model. The record is from RNAcentral.